Molecule: transfer RNA, 92 nt
Filed under: Lactiplantibacillus plantarum
Lineage: Bacteria; Bacillati; Bacillota; Bacilli; Lactobacillales; Lactobacillaceae
Description: Lactobacillus plantarum tRNA-OTHER
Rfam family: tRNA
About the family: Transfer RNA (tRNA) molecules are approximately 80 nucleotides in length.
Source: RNAcentral
GCGAGCGUAGUUCAACGGUAGAACGGUUAUUUAUACGCUUCUCACAGGUCUCACAUCCUAUAUUUAUGCAGGUUCGACUCCUGCCGCUCGCA